RNAcentral lists this transfer RNA (71 nucleotides) under Exophiala mesophila. Its description in RNAcentral is "tRNA-Gly (TCC) (tRNA-Gly-TCC-1-1)". It matches the Rfam family "tRNA". From Rfam's summary of the family: Transfer RNA (tRNA) molecules are approximately 80 nucleotides in length. Their secondary structure includes four short double-helical elements and three loops (D, anti-codon, and T loops). Lineage: Eukaryota; Fungi; Ascomycota; Eurotiomycetes; Chaetothyriales; Herpotrichiellaceae. The record is from RNAcentral.
GUCCCGUUGGUGUAGUGGUAACAUUAUUGCCUUCCAAGCAAUAGCCUCGGGUUCAAUUCCCGAGCGGGACA